ACGUAGGGUGCGAGCGUUGUCCGGAAUUAUUGGGCGUAAAGAGCUUGUAGGCGGUUUGUCGCGUCUGCUGUGAAAUUUCGGGGCUUAACCCCGAACUUGCAGUGGGUACGGGCAGACUAGAGUGUGGUAGGGGAGACUGGAAUUCCUGGUGUAGCGGUGAAAUGCGCAGAUAUCAGGAGGAACACCGGUGGCGAAGGCGGUUCUCUGGGCAUGUCCUGACGCUGAGGAGCGAAAGUGUGGGGAGCGAACAGGA
RNAcentral lists this ribosomal RNA (253 nucleotides) under uncultured prokaryote. Its description in RNAcentral is "partial 16S ribosomal RNA". It matches the Rfam family "Bacterial small subunit ribosomal RNA", at positions 525 to 777 of the family's 1533-position model. The record is from RNAcentral.